Xylaria scruposa is the source of this 115-nucleotide non-coding RNA. The record is from the annotation of a GenBank genome assembly. Lineage: Eukaryota; Fungi; Ascomycota; Sordariomycetes; Xylariales; Xylariaceae.
GGGCGAAUGGUCUAGGGGUAUGAUAUUCGCUUUGCACUGAUGGCCUGGUUGAUAACGCCAGGCUGUAUAAAUCGAUGCUUGCGAAGGGUCCGGGGUUCAAAUCCCCGUUCGUCCA